GCCGGGUGUGGUGGUGCACGCCUGUAAUCUCAGCUGCUCUGGAGGCUGAGACAGGAGGAUUGCAAGUUCAAAGACAGCCUCAGCAAAGAUGAGGCACUAAGCAACUCAAUGAGACCCCAUCUCUA
This 125-nucleotide small RNA is filed under the name Marmota monax (woodchuck). The record is from RNAcentral. Lineage: Eukaryota; Metazoa; Chordata; Mammalia; Rodentia; Sciuridae.